Molecule: ribosomal RNA, 465 nt
Filed under: Triticum aestivum (bread wheat)
Lineage: Eukaryota; Viridiplantae; Streptophyta; Magnoliopsida; Poales; Poaceae
Description: partial small subunit ribosomal RNA
Source: RNAcentral
AUGGAGGACGAGGCCGCGGCGGCCGUGGAGGAGAAUGAGCUCGCCCAGUGGGCGGAAUCCGCUGGGGAGGCCAGCAGCGCCGGCACCGGGGCCCCUCUCAUUGAAGAUGAGGUCAAUGAGUCGUCCGGGGAGGAGGUCGAGGCUGUCGAGCCCCCAGCCACAAGGAGAGGGCGUGUCCUGCGGUGGGCCAGCUCUGGUGAGCCGGUCCGGCCCGGCAGGACCGCACAACCGCAACAACCUCAGGAGGCGUCCAUGCGCCAGACAAGGGCCACGGAGGCGGGGAAGGCGGUGAAGGCUACGGUGGCGAAGAAGAAAGCGAUUGCCUCUUCUUCGUCCAAGCAUCCCUGGACUCCACACGCUUCCCCUCCUCCCGCAGACGACGACACGGAGGUCAUCUUUUACCUCGGGUCCCUUAGCCCGAGGAGGAAGAGGAAGGCAGCGGAAGAGGAGGCGGAGGAUGAGUAA